GGAAAAUUGUACUUAGUAGUCAGUAUAAGCUUUUAAUGAUAUAAGUUUGCAUAUGAUAGAAUACUGUAUGUUGACCUUUUGAUGACUUAGACUGUUGUCCACUACAAGACUGUUUUAUAAAUUCUUUCUCACAGCGAUAAUAGCUGAACAAGCAGGAAGAGGAGAGCUGGACACUUUUAUCUGCGCUCUCUAACAAGAAGAAGGGCUGCGUCCUUCUGAAUCUCACAACACACACGCAUACAUCUGAACCACUCUUAUCUUCACUCCCUACGCACUAACAUUCCUCUGCCUAUGAAUAGAAGUAUUCACUGUUGUAUUACUUUUGUAUAUAAAUAAAGACAAGUGCAAGAACAGAGCGCGCAUCACAGGGCCCCCACUCUGGUGUGAGCGUUCUGUGACCACCCUUGUAUACAAGUGAAAAACACAGCGUCUGUGUGUGUUUCUACCCUUAGACUCUUAGCUGAAGAAGUGUCUUUAGAAUAAAUCUCUUGACAUUUAUUUUGGUCCUUCGAGCCGGAUCAGAAAUAUCAGAACUGUUAUCUGUGACUCUGUUCCAGGAUCUGGCAUACUGUUUCCUGACGCCGUGGAUCCAGCACCGAAGAGGCGAUAAUAGCUGAACAAGCAGGAAGAGGAGAGCUGGACACUUUUAUCUGCGCUCUCUAACAAGAAGAGGGGCUGCGUCCUUCUGAAUCUCACAACACACACGCAUACAUCUGAACCACUCUUAUCUUCACUCCCUACGCACUAACAUUCCUCUGCCUAUGAAUAGACGUAUUCACUGUUGUAUUACUUUUGUAUAUAAAUAAAGACAAGUGCAAGAACAGAGCGCGCAUCACAGGGCCCCCACUCUGGUGUGAGCGUUCUGUGAUCGCCCUUGUAUACAAGUGAAAAACACAGCGUCUGUGUGUGUUUCUACCCUUAGACUCUU
This is a long non-coding RNA of Oreochromis aureus, 928 nucleotides long. The record is from Ensembl. NCBI's taxonomy places the organism in Eukaryota, Metazoa, Chordata, Actinopteri, Cichliformes, Cichlidae.